GUGAGUAAAUGUUUCUGCAUGUUUCCUUUUGGCUUGGAGAUUUGAAGAAAAAUGGUUUUAUUUGCUCAGAUAUUUCAAGUUUUCCUGGUCUUGGUUUGGAGGAGCUCUCUGUCCAGAAUACGUUAGUUCUGGUUUAAGGGUACGCUGCAAAGGAGGGGGAGCAAAAUGGAGUGAAGCUUUAGCUCCAAGGUCAGAGUCAACCUGGGCAGGAGAGCAGAAGUGCUGCCGACCAACCCCUACUCGUCCCCCGGGAACCUCACACCUGAGCAGGGCAGUCUGCUGGUUAGCGCAAUGCGUUAGACUUCAGAUUUUAGAUUAGUCUAGAGAGGCAGGUUAGGUGCUAUAUCCAAGAGCAGGAGGCCAUCUGCAGUUUCUCACCUUUUAACUGUGUGACCAGCCAGUGGAACAGCCACCUGUACCAGCCUGCCGGGCCCCACCUGGUGGGAGAGAAACAGGAGACCGAUUUACCUGGCCAAGUGUGCCAGGCUUGUCGUUCUGUUCAGAUGCCCACAGGGGGCUUGCGUAGCCGGUGAGGUUUCAUGUACAAACCCAUCCGGAAUCCACAAGGUGGGGAACUCCAUUCCUCGGCCAUGUGCUCACCCUCUAAAGGACCCCGUCUGCUUCCCUUACUCAAGGCACUUCCUCGCCCCGAGAGGGCUCACACAGGCCAGCCAAGGCUGCUCACUGUUGUCCUGAAAUGUCCAUCCACCCAUCACUGGGACCUGCCUUUGUCCUCAGAAGGCCCCAGCAUGAUGCGAAUCAUUUCUUAGGAUGGGCAUCCCAGGUGCUCUGUGAAACGGCGGGAGUGCAAGCGGAAAAACAAGAUCGUGUCGGGUGGGUCCUGAGGCCCAGGUACUGGAGGAGACACAUCUCCCUGUGUCCGGCCACUGAAUGUCCCAGGUCUGGACACCCCUGAAGUGCUCUGUGACCUCCAACAGGCACACAGCAUCUUACAGGAACUCGCGUUUUCAGGAAGAUGGUUUCAGCAGCGCUGCAGUGACUGAUGCGAGCCCAGCAGAGAGCAUUGGUUUAUCAGACUUGCUGUGAAUGGAGCGGUGAGCAUACAUUGAGAGGAGGGGAAAAUGUGAUCUAAAACACAAGGCAGUAGAUUUCAAAGGAUAGUCUGCAGCCUUGUCACUCGGAGUGUGGUCCCCAGACCAGCAGCAUCGACACCCCUAAGGAGCUUGUUAAAAAUGCAGAGCCUCAGAGCACACCCCACGCCUACCUUACGUGCGGGCACCUGCAUCUUGACCGACUCCCCCUUCGCUCCACCUCUGUCCUCGGGGCAUCUGCUUCAGAAUCCUAGGGAGGCUCCUGAACGAUGCAGAGUCCUGGGUUCUGCCUGAGGCCUGCUGACGUGGAGCUUGGAGAAUGGGGCCUGGGACCUGGCCUUGUAACAAUGUCUUGGGGUGACGUUCACGCACACUAGCGUUUGAGAACCACUGGCCUGUCCCACAGGCAACAAGCAGCUCCUGGGAGCCUCCUAAAAAUGCUACUUCCUGGGCCGCCCCUGGAUCUACUGAGUCUGGGCGUCUAGGGGCCGAGCCUGGGAAUCAGCACGAGGAUGAUGGUGAAACGGACACAGCUGCCCUGAGGCGGGACUCCAGCCAGCUCUGCUCUGCCCAGCAUCCUGGGGCUAUGCCCACUGGGAGGAGGAGCUGUGAUCUCCGCCCCUGGAUCAAGAGCCCUAGAGAAAAGUGUGCUUUUGUUUCUAGGAGAGAUUAAGAAAAUGCAUUUGGGAGGGUAGCCUAUGAGUGGCUGUUUGCUCUCGACACCUGUAAACUGUUGACUGUAAUUGGACCACAGAUGUUCCCUGAGCCUGAUAGCUUUCUCUCCUCCGGCCGUGGAGGGGAGUCUGGGGAGGGGUUCUUCUCUAGAAGGAAAUCGAAUGAUUGUAUUGGGGCUGCAUUUCCUUGCCUUCCUCUGAUUUAAUCUGUUUUUCUACAUUUAUCAUUAUUAUUUUCGACACUUCAGUGUUAGACAAAAAGCUGUUUUGUAAAAAACCAGGGGGAUGUUAGCAAAAGGUGUGUUCAUAGAAUCAAACAGAAUCUUUGUGGGCAAAUGAAGGUAUUCAAAGUCCUGCAGAAAUGCAUGAAAUCCUCUUGAGCCCCCCAGCUCAAGGAGACCUCCCAGCGUGGAACAGAGAAGAGCAAUCUCACAGGAGAAAGCAGGAGAGAGCUACCCAUCGGAGCCCCGUCAUCUCUCACCUGGAUCCCUGCGCAGCCUCACUCCUCUCCCUGCAAACCUGGCCCCACGGGGACCACUGAAACUUGCAUCAGAGAACAUCACGUGAUGCCCUGCUUCAAGCCCUCAGGCUGGACCCUCUCGGAACCUCGAUGCUCUCUCUAUGGCCCACAGGUCCUGUGCCAUCUGGCCCCUCCGCCCCCUCCCCCUCGCUCUGCCCUUGCUAUCUGGAGCAUUCUGCCCCAGGUCUAGGCAAGGCCGACUGCUGCUCAGAGAUGCCCUGCAGGGCCCCCAGCAAGGCUGCUCGCCCACCUCUCCUCAGCCAGGACCUUUCACACCUAUCACAUCCCUCUGGUUCUGUCUGUCUGAUGUCUGCAGUACAACAGGGGCCUCUCUGCCCGGCCCCCUGCCCUCUCCCCAGCUCCCGGAUGGUGCCGGCCCAGGCUCAGCAAACAUCUGAAUAAAUGAAUGUCUGAGUGGAUGACUGGGAAAGCUGGGAGAGAAGGUGCAGUCUCCUGGGACUUAACCUUGGGGGAGUGGGGAGGGGUCGGUGAUGCCACGCUGCCUGAACUCCUGCCCCACGCCUGGGAAGAAGGAAUACCGGUGGUUUUUCUUCUUUCUUCUGUGAACUCUGGGGCAGAAUGAGAGCCAGGGCCGGGGGGAGGGUGGUUCAGCUGAAUGUGGCAACGACAAGGGGUUAGGAAGACAUCAGGGGGGAGUGGAAGGAGGAUGAUAAAAUGCAUGUUGGGGAAGAGGAACCGAUUAAACAGUCAACUAGAUAAUAUUAGAUUUAGAGGGAGGGAGAAAAUGGAGAUGUUGGAAAUAUGAGUAGACUGAGUGGCAAUAAAACAGGAGAGAGACCAAGAAAAUGGGGAAAAAGUAGAAAUGGACUUUCUGAGUUAAAGCAUCCGCCUGGGACUGGAGACUGCGCAGCCAGGACGCCCCUUUGGCUCAGCCGCUCAGGCAUCCCGGAGGAAUCGGGUUUCACCCGUAGGCUCACUGGUUGGAUGCUUUCAAAUUCCAUUUAACCCGGUUUGAUCAUCGAAUUUUGGGGGAUUGCUGCCGGUCACCUCCAGAGCACAAGCCCCUGCCGGCUGGACUCCUUGGGGGUGGGGCAGGGUUCCCCGCCCAGCCCCAGUCUGCUCAAGUGCAGCCAAGACAAGUGUCCUGUCCUCAAGAAGCAAGCCCUCCGUUCACCUUCACGAGCUGGGGCCCCACUUUGCUUUCUGGGUCUGUGGUUGAAGCUUCACGGAGAAGAAGCUGCAGAGGCAGACGGACGAAGCCGCCUGCUCAAGGACACGACCCCCCUGGGAGCCGCUUCUUUGGGAGAAGGCAGGGCCCUCACACUUCAGUUGAGCAACAGGGUCACCUGACAAGCAUUUUAAAAACAUGAGUGCUUGGACCUCAGACCAGCCCCGUAGGGUCACGUCCAGCAACUCUGUUCUUGACGUUCCCCAGAUGAAGUUAAAUGCACACCGGUGGUUGGGCAUUAAACCCCUUCUGAGUGUUUCUAUCUCAAUGCCUUAGUGUGACUUAAUUUUUGAUCUUUUUCUAGUAAAGGGGCUUCCAUGGGUUGGGAAAGUGAACACUUGAUUGAUGGAAGGAAAGGUGGCAGGGGCUCCAGAGGUGACUGAUU
Molecule: long non-coding RNA, 3820 nt
Organism: Equus asinus (donkey)
Lineage: Eukaryota; Metazoa; Chordata; Mammalia; Perissodactyla; Equidae
Source: Ensembl